RNAcentral lists this ribosomal RNA (976 nucleotides) under Cibicides sp. 17592. RNAcentral describes it as "SSU rRNA". It matches the Rfam family "Eukaryotic small subunit ribosomal RNA", at positions 1160 to 1801 of the family's 1831-position model. Lineage: Eukaryota; Foraminifera; Rotaliida; Cibicididae. RNAcentral also lists the same sequence under 1 other name. The record is from RNAcentral.
AAGGGCACCACAAGAACGCGUGGAGCAUGUGGCUUAAUUUGACUCAACGCGGGAAAUCUUACCGGGUCCGGACACACUGAGGAUUGACAGGCAAUAUUAAUACGUGUUCGCACGUAUUAUGUUAAAUAUGCUAGUCCUUUCAUGAUUAUGUGAUAGGUGGUGCAUGGCCGUUCUUAGUUCGUGGAGUGAUCUGUCUGCUUAAUUGCGUUUCACUAAGGGCCUAUAAAUUUACGUGUGUUGCGGCACUUUGACCCCUUUCCUCGGAAAGCGCGCGUCUUAGUUUGCUUUGCUCACACAAUUAGGUCCUGAAAGCAACGAACGUGACCGCAACCUCUUGUUGCCUUUAUACCAAACAUGUUUGUCAUUUUUAUGGCAUUCAUGAAAAAAGGCUUUUUAAACUAGAGGGACCGCUGUUACUUUCUUAAACCAGAGGAAGGUUGCGGCAAUAACAGGUCUGUGAUGCCCUUAGAUGUUCCGGGCUGCACACGUGCUACAAUGAUUAUUGCAGUGAGCAUCUCAUUUUUACACACCGCAUGCGCGAGUCCAUUUAUUCACUUCGGUGCUUUAAAUGUGUAUUUCUGCGCGCGGUAAAGCCUGCUUCGAAAGUAAGUGGGUAAUCAAUUAGAAGUAAUGAUUUCCUUUUUAGCACACAUAUAUACGGCGUCUAUACCCGGGUUACCUUGUUGUAACUUUUGUGUGUAUAGAUGUUUUUUCCGUAUGUGCGAUUGUCAAUUCAUGGUGGGGACAGACCAUUGUUAAUUGUUGGUCUCGGUCUUAACUAGGAAUGCCUUGUACGGGUCUUUGGUUCAACAAACCACCCGGAAUACGUCCCUGCCCUUUGUACACACCGCCCGUCGCUCUUACCGAUGGACUUCUCUGUGAGUUUGAGGGACUGGGAACGCAGAAUUUAUUCUGCACACCUAUGGAAACUUAAACGAACAGUGUGGUCUAAAGGAAAGAGAAGUCGAACAAGGCA